CAAUCGAAGCAGUGAACUUAAGCCCCAGUAAACGGCGGCCGUAACUAUAACGGUCCUAAGGUAGCGAAAUUCCUUGUCGGGUAAGUUCCGACCCGCACGAAAGGCGUAACGAUUUGGGCACUGUCUCAACAACAGACUCGGUGAAAUUGUAAUUCCGGUGAAGAUGCCGGAUACCUGCGACAGGACGGAAAGACCCCAUGGAGCUUUACUGUAGCUUGACAUUGGGUCUUGGUACUACAUGUACAGGAUAGGUGGGAGGCUUUGAAACCAGGACGCCAGUUUUGGCGGAGCCAUCCUUGGGAUACCACCCUUGUAGUACUGGGACUCUAACCAUAGGCCAUGAAUCUGGUCUUGGGACACUGUCAGGUGGGCAGUUUGACUGGGGCGGUCGCCUCCCAAAAGGUAACGGAGGCGCUCAAAGGUUCUCUCAGUACGGUCGGAAAUCGUACGUAGAGUGUAAAGGCAAAAGAGAGCUUGAUUGCAAGACAUACAGGUCGAGCAAGGAUGAAAAUCGGACUUAGUGAUCCGGUGGUUCUGCGUGGAAGGGCCAUCGCUCAACGGAUAAAAGCUACCCUGGGGAUAACAGGCUUAUCUCCCCCAAGAGUCCACAUCGACGGGGAGGUUUGGCACCUCGAUGUCGGCUCAUCACAUCCUGGGGCUGUAGUAGGUCCCAAGGGUUGGGCUGUUCGCCCAUUAAAGUGGUACGCGAGCUGGGUUCAGAACGUCGUGAGACAGUUCGGUCCCUAUCCGUCGCAGGCGUAGGAAAUUUGAGAAGA
This 776-nucleotide ribosomal RNA is filed under the name Clostridioides difficile. RNAcentral describes it as "bacterial LSU rRNA". It matches the Rfam family "Bacterial large subunit ribosomal RNA", at positions 1896 to 2670 of the family's 2925-position model. The record is from RNAcentral. Lineage: Bacteria; Bacillati; Bacillota; Clostridia; Peptostreptococcales; Peptostreptococcaceae.